ACAUCCAGAGAAUUUAGCAGAGAUGCUUUAGUGCCUUCGGGAACUCUGAGACAGGUGCUGCAUGGCUGUCGUCAGCUCGUGUUGUGAAAUGUUGGGUUAAGUCCCGNAACGAGCGCAACCCUUAUCCUUUGUUGCCAGCACGUAAUGGUGGGAACUCAAAGGAGACUGCCGGUGAUAAACCGGAGGAAGGUGGGGAUGACGUCAAGUCAUCAUGGCCCUUACGAGUAGGGCUACACACGUGCUACAAUGGCGCAUACAAAGAGAAGCGACCUCGCGAGAGCAAGCGGACCUCAUAAAGUGCGUCGUAGUCCGGAUUGGAGUCUGCAACUCGACUCCAUGAAGUCGGAAUCGCUAGUAAUCGUAAAUCAGAAUGUUACGGUGAAUACGUUCCCGGGCCUUGUACACACCGCCCGUCACACCAUGGGAGUGGGUUGCAAAGGAAGUAGAUAGCUUAACCUUCGGGAGGGCGUUUACCACUUUGUGAUUCAUGACUGGGGUGAAGUCGUAACAAGGUAAGCGUAGUGCU
This 526-nucleotide ribosomal RNA is filed under the name uncultured bacterium. Its description in RNAcentral is "bacterial SSU rRNA". It matches the Rfam family "Bacterial small subunit ribosomal RNA", at positions 984 to 1509 of the family's 1533-position model. The record is from RNAcentral.